Molecule: long non-coding RNA, 303 nt
Filed under: Rosa chinensis
Lineage: Eukaryota; Viridiplantae; Streptophyta; Magnoliopsida; Rosales; Rosaceae
Description: sRNA RchiOBHm_Chr3g0472121
Source: RNAcentral
UUUGAGAUACUUAUGUCAUUGUGAAAUCAGUUUUUCGCGUCAAUUUUCCUUCACAAUAAAUCUGCAAGACGUUUUUGGUUAGUUAUUUAGCAUUUCAAGUGAAAUCUAAAUGGCUUGAGAUUUUAGGUACCAUUUUCUUAAGACAUAAGCUCGAUAUUGAAGUAUGUUCUUAAGGCAGAAUCAUAGCUUUGUGAACAUGUAUCUAUACAAUAGCUUGGAAUCCAGGUAGGGGGAUCUGGGAACCUCUACUCAAUUGUAUUGUAUGCAUAUAUGUUGCUUGACAUGUUUGUUGUGGAAUGAAUG